CAUGUAGGCGGAUUAAUAAGUUUGAAGUGAAAUCCUAUAGCUUAACUAUAGAACUGCUUUGAAAACUGUUAAUCUAGAAUGUGGGAGGGGUAGAUGGAAUUUCUGGUGUAGGGGUAAAAUCCGUAGAGAUCAGAAGGAAUACCGAUUGCGAAGGCGAUCUACUGGAACAUUAUUGACGCUGAGAUGCGAAAGCGCGGGGAGCAAACA
This 207-nucleotide ribosomal RNA is filed under the name uncultured bacterium. Its description in RNAcentral is "partial 16S ribosomal RNA". It matches the Rfam family "Bacterial small subunit ribosomal RNA", at positions 568 to 774 of the family's 1533-position model. The record is from RNAcentral.